UAUUUCAGGCUGUUUGCUAGUUGACCAAUUUGCAUAAUUCACCCAGACCAUGGUCUCAUCACAAUGAUGUAAUGUUAAUGAAUAUUCAUAGUCAGACACUUGAAACAACAAAAAUCUGGAAACUGCUGAAAUGACACCACAGCAAGAGCAACUUUUAGAUAACAUAUACAUGUGCAUUUCACCACAGCGGAUCACGCGCACGUUUUAACCUUUUACCACUUGGAUAGGCCAGGGAACAUUUUAAAGCUGCUUGCUAGUUGAUCUAUUUGCAUAAUUCACCCAGACCAUGGUCUCAUCACAAUGAUGUAAUGUUAAUGAAUAUUCAUAGUCAGACACUUGAAACAACAAAAAUCUGGAAACUGCUGAAAUGAUACCACAGCAGGAGCAACUUUUAGAUAGCAUAUACACGUGCAUUUCACCACAGCGGAUCACGCGCAUGUUGUAACCUUCUACCGCUUGGAUAGGCCAGGGAACAUUUUAAAGCUGUUUGCUAGUUGAUCCAUUUGCAUAAUUCACCCAGACCAUGGUCUCAUCACAAUGAUGUAAUGUUGAUGAAUAUUCAUAGUCAGACACUUGAAACAACAAAAAUCUGGAAACUGCUGAAAUGACACCACAGCAAGAGCAACUUUUAGAUAGCAUAUACAUGUGCAUUUCACCACAGCGGAUCACGCGCACGUUGUAACCUUUUACCGCUUGGAUAGGCCAGGGAACAUUUUAAAGCUGUUUGCUAGUUGACCCAUUUGCAUAAUUCUCCCAGACCAUGGUCUCAUCACAAUGAUGUAAUGUUAAUGAAUAUUCAUAGUCAGACACUUGAAACAACAAAAAUCUGGAAACUGCUGAAAUGACACCACAGCAAGAGCAACUUUUAGAUAGCAUAUACAUGUGCAUUUCACCACAGCGGAUCACGCGCAUGUUGUAACCUUUCACCGCCUUGAUAGGCCAGGGAACAUUUUAAAAAAUUCUGAAGAAAAUUUAGACAUUGCACCUCUGCAACAAGUGGACCAGCCCUGCUUGGCUGAAUGGAGAAUUUUCCUUCCUCUACUGAAUGAAUCAUUUAAAUCGGAUGUUGACUGAUAAAAUAUUGCUUAAGCUUUAAAAUAAAUUGAGGUAUGACUUGUCCACAAUAUCCGUCGUCAACUCAUGUCAAGCGGUUCUUUGGAAUUCACAAUCUGCUACACAGUGAGUUGUCCAGGUAACACAAAACAAAUCCUUUAUUUACCACCACACCAUGCAACCAUUCUCACGGAGAACAGAUAAUGAAUGAGCCAAUAGUACCUGUGGAAACUGGCAUUCUCUUAGUAAAUUGUACAAGCUGUGCUCGUAAUAGAAAGAAAAUGCCCACAUGUAGGCAUUACCUGACUACCCUCUUCAUCUAUGCAGCAGUAGCCAUCUGAUGAUGCUACUUUCCUUUCAACCAUGCAAGCACUUUUGUCUGGUUUAUAUUUAUUCACUUCGGGAUCUUCGUUACUACCUUCUUCAUGGAAAGUAGAUUUCAGUUGACAUGUCUUGGAAUAAGAUAAGCCGGCACAUUUUCCUGUUAAUAAAGAACUUAAAUUUACUGCCAAAUCAUGUUGCAUACCUUUCAUAUCGUUUUAAAUAAUAAUCCAGAUAAUUCUUACCUUCAUUAAAUGGUGGUAAUUUAGGUCUACUUGCCUUAACUUUGGAUGACCCAGUUUCGGGGACAGGUAAUAUUCUGCCCGACUUGGGUUUGUUCUUUUCAUCAGUGUUCUUAUAUAGUAUUAUUUCCUGGACGAGUAGUCUCCAAAAAUGUCACACAGCCUCUCAGAAGCUAUCUGAAAAAGAUCUGAACAUACUCAAGAGACACAAAAGUUCACAACACAAAUAAUUAUCAAAAAUGUUUACUGAUACAUUAUUGAGAAAGUGCCAGCCUAGUGUUGGGGAAUCAAGUGGGGCCGAUGAAGACAACACUAUCCUAGGGGGUCCAUUUUUUGCGAUCAAUGUUUUCUUUUCUUCUUUCUUUUUUUUUGCUUUCCAAAAGGAAGGGGACAGUAAAUCUGCCCCCUGAAUUCCAUCAUCAUUAACAUAUGUUUUCAAUCAUCUCAUUACAAAGCCAUAGCAGUUAACAAAUAAUAAUGGUUUAGCAUCAAUGCUGUAACACUACAACUUUAUCAGUCAGCCCUUCCAAAACUUAAUAUUAUGUUACCAAAAUACAAUAACAGUUUGUUCACGAUUUCGACAUCAUUUUCCUUAUGGCCUUUUAGCUCUAUCGCAUUAGA
Long non-coding RNA from Anneissia japonica, 2237 nucleotides. RefSeq lists it as uncharacterized. The transcript is spliced from 8 exons. The record is from RefSeq and is a predicted model, not a curated record. NCBI's taxonomy places the organism in Eukaryota, Metazoa, Echinodermata, Crinoidea, Comatulida, Comatulidae.